Molecule: ribosomal RNA, 326 nt
Filed under: uncultured bacterium
Lineage: Bacteria
Description: bacterial SSU rRNA
Rfam family: Bacterial small subunit ribosomal RNA
Source: RNAcentral
GACGAACGCUGGCGGCGUGCUUAACACAUGCAAGUCGAACGGAGCACCCUUGACGGAGUUUUCGGACAACUGAUAGGAAUGCUUAGUGGCGGACUGGUGAGUAACGCGUGGGGAACCUGCCUUGGAGAGGGGAAUAACACAGAGAAAUUUGUGCUAAUACCGCAUAAUGCAGUUGGGUCGCAUGGCUCUGACUGCCAAAGAUUUUAUCGCUCUGAGAUGGCCUCGCGUCUGAUUAGCUAGUAGGCGGGGUAACGGCCCACCUAGGCGACGAUCAGUAGCCGGACUGAGAGGUUGACCGGCCACAUUGGGACUGAGACACGGCCCAG